RNAcentral lists this ribosomal RNA (296 nucleotides) under uncultured bacterium. Its description in RNAcentral is "partial 16S ribosomal RNA". It matches the Rfam family "Bacterial small subunit ribosomal RNA", at positions 337 to 650 of the family's 1533-position model. The record is from RNAcentral.
GCCUACGGGAGGCAGCAGUGGGGGAUAUUGCACAAUGGGGGGAACCCUGAUGCAGCGACGCCGCGUGGGUGAAGGAGCGUUUCGGCGCGUAAAGCCCUAUCGGCAGGGAAGAAGAUGACGGGACCUGACCAAGAAGCCCCGGCUAACUACGUGCCAGCAGCCGCGGUAAUACGUAGGGGGCAAGCGUUAUCCGGAUUUACUGGGGGUAAAGGGGGCGCAGACGGCAAUGCAAGCCAGGAGUGAAAGCCCGGGGCACAACCCCGGGACUGCUCUUGGACCUGCUUGGCGGGAGGACA